Molecule: ribosomal RNA, 442 nt
Filed under: uncultured Eubacteriales bacterium
Lineage: Bacteria; Bacillati; Bacillota; Clostridia; Eubacteriales
Description: bacterial SSU rRNA
Rfam family: Bacterial small subunit ribosomal RNA
Source: RNAcentral
CCUACGGGAGGCUGCAGUGGGGAAUAUUGCACAAUGGGCGAAAGCCUGAUGCAGCAACGCCGCGUGAAGGAUGAAGGCCUUUGGGUCGUAAACUUCUGUCCUUGGGGAAGAAAAAAAUGACGGUACCCCUGGAGGAAGUCCCGGCUAACUACGUGCCAGCAGCCGCGGUAAUACGUAGGGGGCGAGCGUUAUCCGGAAUUAUUGGGCGUAAAGAGUACGUAGGUGGUUUUUUAAGCGCAGGGUUUAAGGCGAUGGCUCAACUGUCGUUCGCCCUGUGAACUGGAAGACUUGAGUACAGGAGAGGAAAGCGGAAUUCCUAGUGUAGCGGUGAAAUGCAUAGAUAUUAGGAGGAACACCAGUGGCGAAGGCGGCUUUCUGGACUGUAACUGACACUGAGGUACGAAAGCGUGGGGAGCAAACAGGAUUAGAUACCCCAGUAGUC